Molecule: long non-coding RNA, 1586 nt
Organism: Poecilia latipinna (sailfin molly)
Lineage: Eukaryota; Metazoa; Chordata; Actinopteri; Cyprinodontiformes; Poeciliidae
Exons: 4
Source: RefSeq, a predicted model, not a curated record
ACCGCAUUCAAACUUCAUCUCCUCACAUUUGACACCUGGUGUUAUACAAAAACAAAGGUGUGGGGAAUAUCUGCAUCACGGCACGCUACGGCUGCUAUGUAGGUGCCAGUUCAGCCAUUGUUAUUCUCUGCGGCGGCCCGCUCUGUGGUGCGGUGUGAGGCACUCCCAUCAAUUUUUACAUGAAAGAUUUCCUGCAGUGAAAGAGAAACGUUGGGACACCUCUUGUGACGUUCACUGAGCUGCAUAGCGGAGGAGCAAGUAUGUGCGCUUGCUGUUCCUCGUAACUGGAAUUGCUGACUUGACGCUUGAAAAUAACCACAUUACAGAGCACCAGCUGCACUUCAGCUUUCUGAGCUUCAUGGCAAUGUCUGAAGGGGGGGAAAAAAGAGAAGAUAAAUAAGCUGCGUCUAUUCUUGCCCGAAUGCAGUCUGGAUUUGAAGGACAUGAAUAAUAAAAAUCUGCUCAUGCGUCCGCCACACACUGUUGCACCGUCACAAGCGCAGGCAUCAAAUGGCACCGGUGGACUGGCUCGACGCCACGCUGCCGGAGAGGACACGCCUUAUCCUCCAGCAUGUUCCUCCGUGAGGCCCGGCCUCGCUGAGCUCCAACCGCCUUCAGCCCUCCACGCUCUGCCAUUCAGGAUCAGGACGUUCCCCUUUUCUCCAUUCACCGAGUGCGCUCAGCGUUCUUCAGUCCUGCUCUCUCAUUGGUCCGUUCAUCGGAUGAAAGGAGAGAAGAAGGGAUUUGAGUUUCUGUCAUGACUUGUCUCUGUAUUAAAAAAAAAACAACAACAAAAAAACAGGAAGAGCAGGUGAGAUAAAGACAGGUGAUUUUCUCCUGAAACCCACGUGCUGUUGCGUAAAGAGCGACUCUUCAGUGGAGAAGAAGCAAAGAAAUAUUAACCAUUUGAGCGAUGUUUUUCAAACAGUGUGUUAUUGAUUCUGAUCGUGAUUUUUCAUUUUUAUUUUUUUUUUAUGUCAUAAACUGAAAUUUCGGGGUCUUGUGCUCAUUUUGUUGUCAGACUCUUUUCUAAAAUGUAAUAGUGGAAAUUUUACAGCGUCACUGUUUCCAAUGAGGUCACAAAAACAAACCAGAUGUGAGCAACAAAAAAAUCGCAUAUGAAAGGACAACGGAUGUAUUUUUCUUCGUAUUUUUCAUCAAUAUUGUUAAAACAUAAUCAAUAGACUAGACCACAUGUCUCAAACUCAAGGCCUGAGGGCCAAAUCUGGUCCACCAUAGCUUUUUGUGUGGCCAUCCAGGCUCCAGAUGGCCGCAUAAAGUUGUUGUGUGUUUAAACGUUUUAUCAAUCUAAUCAGUGGAGUUUUUACCACUUAAAAUGAUCAGUUUCUCUAGUUCAUAUUCAUUUAGAAACAACAUCAGGCUGAAUUGUGUUAAAACCUUACAUUUAGACCUGGCAGAAUGAGAAAAUGAAAAUGUACUUGAGUUAAAAGGUUCAGAGUUUUUUUUUUUCUUUAAGCACUGCUGCUGGCUGCCUUUUAGGUUUCUGAACCAGAAGAUUGCCUGCCCUUUUCUUGCCCUGACCCAAAUUUCACUUGCAUAAGAACCAAUAAACUCAUCUACGCAAA